ACUCCUACGGGAGGCAGCAGUGGGGAAUCUUAGACAAUGGGCGCAAGCCUGAUCUAGCCAUGCCGCGUGAUCGAUGAAGGCCUUAGGGUUGUAAAGAUCUUUCGUGGGGGAAGAUAAUGACGGUACCCCAAGAAGAAGCCCCGGCUAACUCCGUGCCAGCAGCCGCGGUAAUAC
This 174-nucleotide ribosomal RNA is filed under the name uncultured bacterium. RNAcentral describes it as "partial 16S ribosomal RNA". It matches the Rfam family "Bacterial small subunit ribosomal RNA", at positions 335 to 526 of the family's 1533-position model. The record is from RNAcentral.